This is a long non-coding RNA of Oncorhynchus gorbuscha (pink salmon), 1751 nucleotides long. RefSeq lists it as uncharacterized. The record is from RefSeq and is a predicted model, not a curated record. NCBI's taxonomy places the organism in Eukaryota, Metazoa, Chordata, Actinopteri, Salmoniformes, Salmonidae. The transcript is spliced from 3 exons.
GAAAAGCAGCCAACAAGGGCUUAGCAUAUGUGGAAACUCCUUCAAGACUGUUGAGCCUGCUCAGCUUUGGCCCCUACCUCCUGGAGAAGACAGAGGUCCUGGCUGAGUACAAGAAGAAACGGAAGGAUGCCAACAACAACUUUGUGGGCGACACUAGUCCCUGCUGUGGAGGCUAUUACGUUUGACCCUGAGACCCAUUUCCCAGUAAUCACUGACAGCUGUACCGGCUGCACUCUCUGCCUCAGCAUCUGCCCCAUCAUCGACUGCAUCAAAAUGGUUACCAGGCCAACACUGUACGUGCCUAAGAGGGGGCUGCCUCAAGCUGUUAAUCCAGUUUGCUAAAGGCUAGAACAGGGCCAUGUUCAUUAGGCGCAAAACGGAAGAAAAUGUAUUGAAACAGGGAGAUACUACUUGGGCUAGUCCAAUGAGAAAUGGUCAUUUUUUCGUUUCCUGUUGCAAAAUGUUUUAAUACGUUUUCUACUGUGUGCUCUAAUGAAUACGACCCAUGCUUUACCUGACCACCGUAGAGCGGAGGGGGGAGAAGAGGAGAGGACCAAUGUCUACUUCACACCAUUGAUUGGCCACAUAAUUGCAGAGUGAAAAAUUACCUUUAUUAUGAACAUUUAUAAUUAUCUAGAAGCAGUAAUUACCUUAUAUUCCCAAGCCAAUUAUUCUGAAAUAAUUGUGCCGGGCACCAAAUAGUUACAGUGUUAUUUCUAAAACAGUGGCUUGCAAUGUGGGGUUUAGUUUUUUAUCUGCCCUGCUGGAAUUGAUAGAGAUUGUGUGUUGAAGUUUCCAUGGUUCAGUUCAAGGUGCAUACUGAUAAUCAUAUUCAUUGAUUAUCAUCUUUUGGACCAGUGGAAAUUGCAAUGCACUGUUCAAAGACAGAUGAAUGCAAUCAUGGUGUACAGGUUAUAGUUCUGUUAUAUUAAGUAUGUUAAUAAUGAACUGGGGGAUAAUAGGAAAGAUUUUGAUGGAAAUUAGGACUCUAUUCAAUCUGUAUCGCUAAAGUAUUACAGAUUACGCGAUAAAAAUGUAAAGGUCAUUUCUGAUUAAGCCGACAUGCAGCGCUUACCAUGAAUGCAGUCUCCGAUAACGCGGGAACAUUGGUUUUAAAUUUCAAAUAUACUGUCACGCUGAACUUCCACGAUACAGAUUGAGUAGAGCUCUAAUAUAUUUUGGUGUGACUUGAUUUUGAAAUAGAUUUUCCUGUGAUUUUGUGUAUAUUCUUUAAGGCGAUCAUAUGCCUUUUAGCUUGAUGUAUUGAUGAGUAGAAAAAUAGCACAUGAAUAAUGUUUUGGGCAUUAUAGGUUGAGACAGGUUUUAUAUACAUUUUAGGGAAAUUGUAUUAAAUUUGUUUUAUAUAUUUACAUAUUACAUAUUUAAGUCAUUUAUUUAAUAAUCAUAUUUAUGACAAUCAUAUAACCUGCAAUCUAGGUAUAUAUGUGAGUGACUUCAAGAUCAGACACCUACUCAAUUAUAUCUGAACACUUUUAGAGAUAAUCCAUAAAUCUUAUGCCCUAUUCAUAAUCAAUGAACAGACUGGUUUGAAAAACAAAACAUUUUUUUUGUGUUAAUACAAUCUCUACACAAUUCCCUUUUUCCCCAAAAAUUCACAAACAAAACACCCAAUUCUGUGUAUGGGGUAAGCUGUUGAUGUAACGGUUCUCUUGUGGUGAAGGAGAGUCGGACCAAAAUGCAGCGUGUAGAUUGUGAUCCAUGUUUAUUCAACUAACGUUACACAAAUCUAA